GUACUGGUGGUUCACUGGUAGAAUUCUUGUGUUCCAUGCAGGAGACCAGGGUUCAGUUCCUGGCCAAUGUA
RNAcentral lists this transfer RNA (71 nucleotides) under Loxodonta africana (African savanna elephant). It matches the Rfam family "tRNA". From Rfam's summary of the family: Transfer RNA (tRNA) molecules are approximately 80 nucleotides in length. Their secondary structure includes four short double-helical elements and three loops (D, anti-codon, and T loops). Further hydrogen bonds mediate the characteristic L-shaped molecular structure. tRNAs have two regions of fundamental functional importance: the anti-codon, which is responsible for specific mRNA codon recognition, and the 3' end, to which the tRNAs corresponding amino acid is attached (by aminoacyl-tRNA synthetases). tRNAs cope with the degeneracy of the genetic code in two manners: having more than one tRNA (with a specific anti-codon) for a particular amino acid; and 'wobble' base-pairing, i.e. permitting non-standard base-pairing at the 3rd anti-codon position. Lineage: Eukaryota; Metazoa; Chordata; Mammalia; Proboscidea; Elephantidae. The record is from Rfam by way of RNAcentral.